RNAcentral lists this ribosomal RNA (492 nucleotides) under uncultured bacterium. Its description in RNAcentral is "partial 16S ribosomal RNA". It matches the Rfam family "Bacterial small subunit ribosomal RNA", at positions 29 to 507 of the family's 1533-position model. The record is from RNAcentral.
AGUGAACGCUGGCGGUAGGCCUAACACAUGCAAGUCGAACGGCAGCACAGUAAGAGCUUGCUCUUACGGGUGGCGAGUGGCGGACGGGUGAGGAAUACAUCGGAAUCUACUUUUUCGUGGGGGAUAACGUAGGGAAACUUACGCUAAUACCGCAUACGACCUACGGGUGAAGGCAGGGGAUCUUCGGACCUUGCGCGAUUGAAUGAGCCGAUGUCGGAUUAGCUAGUUGGCGGGGUAAAGGCCCACCAAGGCGACGAUCCGUAGCUGGUCUGAGAGGAUGAUCAGCCACACUGGAACUGAGACACGGUCCAGACUCCUACGGGAGGCAGCAGUGGGGAAUAUUGGACAAAGGGCGCAAGCCUGAUCCAGCCAUACCGCGUGGGUGAAGAAGGCCUUCGGGUUGUAAAGCCCUUUUGUUGGGAAAGAAAAGCAGCAGGUUAAUACCCCGCUGUUCUGACGGUACCCAAAGAAUAAGCACCGGCUAACUUCGUG